CAAAGGAGCAAGAUACAGAGAUUUCAUAAAACGCAAAGACUGUAUCAGUGUGAGAUUUCUGAAGAUGGCUACAACACUCAACCCAAGGUUUAAGAAUUUGAAGUGCCUUCCAAAAUCUGAGAGGGACGAGGUGUGGAGAAUGGUUUCAGAAGUCUUAAAAGAGCAACAUUCUGAUGCGGAAACUACAGAACCCAAACCAC
Long non-coding RNA from Dermochelys coriacea (leatherback sea turtle), 200 nucleotides. RefSeq lists it as uncharacterized. NCBI's taxonomy places the organism in Eukaryota, Metazoa, Chordata, Testudines, Dermochelyidae. The record is from RefSeq and is a predicted model, not a curated record. The transcript is spliced from 3 exons.